This is a long non-coding RNA of Xenopus tropicalis (tropical clawed frog), 1203 nucleotides long. RefSeq lists it as uncharacterized. NCBI's taxonomy places the organism in Eukaryota, Metazoa, Chordata, Amphibia, Anura, Pipidae. The record is from RefSeq and is a predicted model, not a curated record. The transcript is spliced from 2 exons.
UAGUUUCAAUGUGGUGAGGUGUGACUGUAAGUAUGGCAAAACACACCUAAGCCUCACAUAAUUAUUUGUUAAAGGGUAUCAGCAUUAAAAGCUCCUGUCAGAUGAAUAUUUGUUUGAUAUUACACAUAUUCUAGCCUGCUGUCACACUUUUUAUACGCACUAUUUUUUUAAAUGAAAUGUUCUCUAUAUUAUUAUCUUUGCACAAAGUGUCAUUUUUAUUUCUUCAUAGAUAUUUGCCUUUGGACUUUAACUCUUCUUUUAUUUCACUCCUUUGUAAAUGCCAAGCAGCUACUAUUUGCAUCAUAAUGAAAGGACAGGAGUUCACACAGCAAAUCCCUACCUUGACAUUCACAGGGUGAAAAUGAUCAACUCGGAAUCUGCAAACAUUAAUCACCAAGGGGCAUGUGGUGAGAGACUUUAGAAUUACAUGGCCUAACUGGAAAUUGUGUUCUCUACUAAUGAGCUGCAGUUACCUUGCGAGUGCGGAGGGUCAGCUCAGCUGAACGUGCUUGUGUUCUGCGGGUGAAGGAUUCUAAAGAAACAUGGAGUGAUGGGGUAACUGGGACUGGUGGGAGGUCUCCCUUGUUUUGUUUGUUCUACCUACUUACACAAGUCUACAAGUGUCACUUUAUUAGAGCUGCCCUUGUGAGGAAAAAGCAGGGCUGCCUGCGGAUGGCACGUGACAGCCAGUAACAACUCCAUUAAAGGAGCUUUGGAUCUGGAGGAGAAUAUAAGCAGAGAGCCAGCCAGUUUCUCCAUCUGUGACUGCAGUACGUCACAGGGUCCCCUCCUUUGUUCAAGAUGUGGGAAGAGAAGACGGGGCUCCCGGUGUUACGGAGAUAAACUUAAUCUGUUCCCUCACGUGGGUGUCUGUAUGGAAGAUACAAGCAGAAGGCAAGGGAACUUGCUGGCAAACUGUUUUCUGCUUGAAGCAUGAAUUUUAAGUGAUAACUGAAGAAUUAAUUGCUUUGUUUCAAUGCAAGCUUGUAAAUCGCUGUGACGUUACUGAGUCAUGUGAGAUUACGCAUGUAUUUGUAACUCUCACACUGAGUCACCGAUUUAAUAUCACACAUGUCAAGCCCAUCACCCUCAGAAACACAGUCUAGAGGAGAUCUGGAAUGUGCUGAUAUGGUGCGAAUAUAUUUUAACACAUCCGUAAUUAAUCUAGUUACAUGUACUUUAAGUAAAAUCAAAUGUUUUCCA